GACCACUAAUUGCUACUUCUACAAGAAUAGUUUCAUGUAUAAUAUUUCCAAAGAUAAUAAACAUCCAUUUAUUACUUCUACAUGCACAAGUUUGAUUUUCUUAACAAGAGAUAUAUCUUGUUUUUUGACAAAGUCUUCAUCUAUAAAAUAAAUUAAGGCUCUUGAAUUCAAAUCAUAAAGGAAUUGCAAAUCUUUUUUGAUUAAAAGUACAAACCAAAAGAGGGCACUUCUUGAUAAAAGUGCACCUAUAAAUCCAUUUGAGCAUUCAAAAAAAUGUAAUCUUAAAUAAAACUUGGCUUAUUGCAAAAAUCUUUGAAAUUUUGAUCUU
This 328-nucleotide long non-coding RNA is filed under the name Physcomitrium patens. RNAcentral's name for it is "long non-coding RNA (PPAT_LNC004989)". Lineage: Eukaryota; Viridiplantae; Streptophyta; Bryopsida; Funariales; Funariaceae. The record is from RNAcentral.